Molecule: ribosomal RNA, 468 nt
Filed under: uncultured bacterium
Lineage: Bacteria
Description: partial 16S ribosomal RNA
Rfam family: Bacterial small subunit ribosomal RNA
Source: RNAcentral
GACGAACGCUGGCGGCGUGCUUAACACAUGCCAGUCGAACGGAAAGGCCCUGCUCUUGUGGGGUGCUCGAGUGGCGAACGGGUGAGUAACACGUGAGUAACCUGCCCUUGACUUUGGGAUAACUUCAGGAAACUGGGGCUCAUACCGGAUAUGAGCUCCUGCUGCAUGGUGGGGGUUGGAAAGUUUCGGCGGUUGGGGAUGGACUCGCGGCUUAUCCGCUUGUUGGUGGGGUAGUGGCUUAACAAGGCUUUGACGGAUAGCCGGCCUGAGAGGGUGACCGGCCACAUUGGGACUGAGAUACGGCCCAGACGGCUACGGGAGGCAGCAGUGGGGAAUAUUGCACAAUGAGCGGAAGCCUGAUGCAGCAACGCCGCGUGCGGGAUAACGGCCUUCGGGUUGUAAACCGCUUUCGCCGGUGACGAAGCGUGAGUGACGGUAAUGGGUAAAGAAGCACCGGCUAACUACGUG